CUUACCAUGCAGUCGAACGAUGAAGCCCAGCUUGCUGGGUGGAUUAGUGGCGAACGGGUGAGUAACACGUGAGUAACCUGCCCUUGACUCUGGGAUAAGCCUGGGAAACUGGGUCUAAUACCGGAUAGGAACGUCCACCGCAUGGUGGGUGUUGGAAAGAUUUAUCGGUCAUGGAUGGACUCGCGGCCUAUCAGCUUGUUGGUGAGGUAAUGGCUCACCAAGGCGACGACGGGUAGCCGGCCUGAGAGGGUGACCGGCCACACUGGGACUGAGACACGGCCCAGACUCCUACGGGAGGCAGCAGUGGGGAAUAUUGCACAAUGGGCGAAAGCCUGAUGCAGCGACGCCGCGUGAGGGAUGACGGCCUUCGGGUUGUAAACCUCUUUCAGUAGGGAAGAAGCGAAAGUGACGGUACCUGCAGAAGAAGCACCGGCUAACUACGUGCCAGCAGCCGCGGUAAUACGUAGGGUGCGAGCGUUAUCCGGAAUUAUUGGGCGUAAAGAGCUCGUAGGCGGUUUGUCGCGUCUGUCGUGAAAGUCCGGGGCUUAACCCCGGAUCUGCGGUGGGUACGGGCAGACUAGAGUGCAGUAGGGGAGACUGGAAUUCCUGGUGUAGCGGUGGAAUGCGCAGAUAUCAGGAGGAACACCGAUGGCGAAGGCAGGUCUCUGGGCUGUAACUGACGCUGAGGAGCGAAAGCAUGGGGAGCGAACAGGAUUAGAUACCCUGGUAGUCCAUGCCGUAAACGUUGGGCACUAGGUGUGGGGACCAUUCCACGGUUUCCGCGCCGCAGCUAACGCAUUAAGUGCCCCGCCUGGGGAGUACGGCCGCAAGGCUAAAACUCAAAGGAAUUGACGGGGGCCCGCACAAGCGGCGGAGCAUGCGGAUUAAUUCGAUGCAACGCGAAGAACCUUACCAAGGCUUGACAUGUUCUCGAUCGCCGUAGAGAUACGGUUUCCCCUUUGGGGCGGGAUCACAGGUGGUGCAUGGUUGUCGUCAGCUCGUGUCGUGAGAUGUUGGGUUAAGUCCCGCAACGAGCGCAACCCUCGUUCCAUGUUGCCAGCACGUCAUGGUGGGGACUCAUGGGAGACUGCCGGGGUCAACUCGGAGGAAGGUGGGGACGACGUCAAAUCAUCAUGCCCCUUAUGUCUUGGGCUUCACGCAUGCUACAAUGGCCGGUACAAUGGGUUGCGAUACUGUGAGGUGGAGCUAAUCCCAAAAAGCCGGUCUCAGUUCGGAUUGGGGUCUGCAACUCGACCCCAUGAAGUCGGAGUCGCUAGUAAUCGCAGAUCAGCAACGCUGCGGUGAAUACGUUCCCGGGCCUUGUACACACCGCCCGUCAAGUCACGAAAGUCGGUAACACCCGAAGCCGGUGGCCUAACCCUUGUGGGGAGCCGUCGAAGUGACAGCAGGUCGUUU
RNAcentral lists this ribosomal RNA (1416 nucleotides) under Micrococcus endophyticus. RNAcentral describes it as "bacterial SSU rRNA". It matches the Rfam family "Bacterial small subunit ribosomal RNA". The record is from RNAcentral. Lineage: Bacteria; Bacillati; Actinomycetota; Actinomycetes; Micrococcales; Micrococcaceae.